Molecule: long non-coding RNA, 1197 nt
Filed under: Mustela putorius furo (domestic ferret)
Lineage: Eukaryota; Metazoa; Chordata; Mammalia; Carnivora; Mustelidae
Description: lncRNA (ENSMPUG00000026200.1)
Source: RNAcentral
CUACCUUUGCCUUUCUACCCUUUGAAGCCUCAGAUCCCUAUUCUCUUUAUCUUAGUCCAGAAUGAUGUAUGUACCACAUUUUUCCUGUCUUUGGAAUCUCUCAUGUGGAUUCCUUAUAUGUACAUGAUUAAAUAUGAUUUUCUCCUGCUAAUCAGUCUCAUGUCAAUUUAAUUUUUAGAUCAGCUGAAAGCAACGUUAAAGAGAAGAGUAAAAUCUUUCUUCUUCAACAAUGGUGUGAGAGGAGAGCUGCCAGAAAAUAAAUGCCACCUUCAUAUAACUGUAGUGAAGUCUCCAUUCUUUAUUGCAAGCAUUGCCAGAUUUUGGAAAAAGCUAAAUAUUCACUGCCCAAAUGCAGUUUCAUUCCUUCAAGAAGAAAAGUUCUCUCUCACACUUUCUGAGGGAAGAUGAUAUGAAGACACACAAGGGGAAGGCCAUGUGAAGACGGAAGGAUAGGAGGCAUGCAUCUACAAUGAAUGUCAAAGACUGCUGACAAACCACCAGAAGCUUAGGAAGAGCAAGGAAGGAUUCCCCUAUUGGUUUCAGAAGAAGCAUGGCCAUGCCAUUACCCUGAUUUUAGAAUUCUAGCUUCUAAAACAAUAGGAAAAUAAAUUUCUGUUGUUUUAAGUCACCCAGUUUAUGUUACACUUUUAUUCUUAUUAGUGGAUUAAAGAUUUUAAUUUUAUAUUGUCUGCUUUCCUGUGAGACACAAAGUUUUUAAUAUAUUCUAUGACUUUCUACACCACUUGAUUUAGCUUUGUACAUAUUUUGGAUCUAUAUUAAUAUAAGAAAUUGAUCCGUAAACUCUUUUUUUCUUGUUUGUUGUUGUUCAUUUGGUUUGUUGUCUUUAAUGUUUAAUUAGUCCAUUUUUCUAGACUGAAUUUGCAAAAGCCUUUGUUUUACUUUUUAUUAUUUAUUUCUAGAGGCAGCUUUGUGUCCUGUUUCAUUAAUUGUUUUUUCUUAUCAUAAAUAUUUCCUUUAUCUUUUAUUUAGUUUAUUCGGAUUUUCUUUUUCUCUCUUCUUAAAAAUUGCUAUGUACCUCAAAAAUUUGGCCUUUCAGGGCAUGUGGGUGGCUCAGUAGGUUGGGCAUCUGACCCUUGGUUUUGGCUGGGGUCAUGAUCUCCAGGUCCUGGGACCAAGCCUUGCACAGGGUUCCCCAUAUGGAAGGGAGUCUGCUUGUCUACCUUUCUCUCUGCCCCU